GCACGACCGGAUGUUUUCAAAUUCAUUUGAAUUAAAUCCCCAUCUUUCUCUCUCUCAUUCUCUCCCCUCUCACUCAGAUCCACCCGUGCGAGCCCGCUUCCGUGCUCCAUCGCCGUGCAUGACCAGUGCCGGAAACCUAGGGUUCCUCGCAGCGGUCUCCUAUGACUCCGAUCGACCGUAGGCCUCAGCGCCGCGGAGAUGGAGGCGCUCCCCCUCAUCGACAUCUCUGCUGAGGACGAUCUCCUCUAUGACCUCGCCUCACUGGCCCCGCCGCGUCCCGAUCCACCCCACGCAGGGUCUCAGGUGGGUGCUGUGGCGACCUCCUCUGUUGGUUCUCCGUUGGCGGCAGUCCGGUCUAUGGAUCCGGAAGGUGUGAUGGUGGAUCAGGCACCCCUGAGCGGACGGAGUCUCCGGAGUAGUGGAAAGCCAAAAAGGGGGUAAACCUCUCCGCAAGAACUUGGCAUGGGACAACGCCUUUUUUACCAGUGAAGAUUUAGAACAUGAGUUAGCCGGCUGCAGGUGACUAGAGGCAAGGAGGAUCCUACACCUACUGCUGCAGCUCCCCCAGGCUCCCCAUGUGUUCUAUGCUUGAUGAGUUAGGUUUUUAUGCAUUUUAGAUCAAGCCUUUGACUAUGAAAUUUGAUUGUUUUUUGCAGAUUUAGAAUACGACACGUAUCAAUUUGUGUGCUUGCAUUUCUUAAUUGUUCAAAUUAUUCAUGCUUAGUUUUAUUCAUGCUUAGGUUUCUAUGCAAUUUUGAUUUAGAAAAUUGAUGCAUCCCGCAAGAGACACCUGGUGAGUUUCUAUGCAUAUGGAAAUUGAUAAAUGAAGAGUUUCUGCUUGUUGCUAAGUGGAGUCACUCCAGAUGGAUGAUUCUAUGCACCUCUAUUUUUAUUUUUAUGCGCUCUGGGCAUGGCACCAAUUGCAAGCUUCUGUUCCUUUUUUUGUUUUUCUUAUAAAUUCAUAUGUACUCAAUUAUAGGCUCAAUUUAAUCAUUAAGUGUGCUUGCUGCUCCUAGGCAUGGAGCAGUCCGUAAGAACUCAUGCUUGCGCGCUGCUCGCAUACUUUCUUACUGUUAUCAUUGCUUUUUAUGCCAGCGCCUCCAUCUGGCGGAUAGGGAACUCGUGUGGGUCUCCUAUUCGUCUUGCAACAGAUCCAUCCUGGUUUGCACUUCUCUAUCCAAGGGGAACACGUGAGCUGAGGAAGGUGCUCGAGCUCGCUACCGACAAGGAGCCGAUCUAGGUGGAGGAGAUUGUCUACGGCACUAGGUUUCUAUGCAGCUAAUGGACAUUAGUGUCCCAACCUCAUGUGGGUCAUAGCUAUGCAGCUCCUGCUCCCCACCGGAUGGUUGAAAGGAUUCCUCUAUUUGGUGUGAGGUCAAUGGUGGCUCAGACAUCAUAGGACAUGGCUUGCGACGUCCACAAUUUCCUUCCUUGGCUUGUGACGGUGGCGUAGUGUGAUAUUCAAUAUAGUUGAUGGGUUAAUGUAAAAAGUUAGUUUUUUAUAUGUUGUGUUUAUAUGCUUGGAUGGCAUGAGUGAAAUUAUUGGUUUCUAUGUAACUUCUUUUGGGUUUCAAUAUUUGGUUGACUUAGUGUCUAUGCAUGUUGUGAGCUAGGAACAUUAUUCCACAUCUAGCGUGUAGUGUUUUGUAUGUUUCAUUACCCUAGAGGGAAGUAUGGUGUAAGGUUUCUAUACAUUGUUGCUCUAUUAAAUAAACAUAUCCUGGUGCAAAGAA
Sorghum bicolor (sorghum) is the source of this 1733-nucleotide long non-coding RNA. RefSeq lists it as uncharacterized. NCBI's taxonomy places the organism in Eukaryota, Viridiplantae, Streptophyta, Magnoliopsida, Poales, Poaceae. The transcript has 6 exons. The record is from RefSeq and is a predicted model, not a curated record.